RNAcentral lists this ribosomal RNA (253 nucleotides) under uncultured bacterium. RNAcentral's name for it is "partial 16S ribosomal RNA". It matches the Rfam family "Bacterial small subunit ribosomal RNA", at positions 524 to 776 of the family's 1533-position model. The record is from RNAcentral.
UACAGGGGGCUCGAGCGUUAGUCGGAAUCACUGGGCUUAAAGGGUGCGUAGGCGGCUUGUCAAGUGUUUUGUGAAAUCCCACGGCUCAACUGUGGAACAGCAGGGCAAACUGACAAGCUUGAGGCAGGUAGGGGCCGGAAGAACAGUUGGUGGAGCGGUGAAAUGCGUAGAUAUCAACUGGAAUGCCGAUGGGGAAGCCGUCCGGCUGGGCCUGUCCUGACGCUGAGGCACGAAAGCGUGGGGAGCAAACAGG